This 2205-nucleotide ribosomal RNA is filed under the name Triticum aestivum (bread wheat). RNAcentral describes it as "partial small subunit ribosomal RNA". The record is from RNAcentral. Lineage: Eukaryota; Viridiplantae; Streptophyta; Magnoliopsida; Poales; Poaceae.
AUGGGUUCCCUCACAGGUUCUUCUUGGGUGAUGAGCUUGUGUGGGAGCCCAAUAUGCUCCGACCAAGAUGUGGCCUCAUGUGCGUUCAAGGAGAUAUUCAACGCCUAUACCUGCCUGAAUCAUCUAGUGGCGACCGGCAUCGCCGUGCUGCUCGUGUUGGUGCUCGCGCUCCAGCUGCUUGUGAAAAUUCCCAAGAGCAGAGCGUCUGCGCGGCAGCUCGUCACGCUCAGCUCACCGCUGCACUUGUCUGCUGUGGUGUUCAGUGGCACCUUGGGUUUGGUUUAUCUUGGGCUUGGAUUGUGGAUGCUGGGGAGUGGCUUCAAUCAGGAUGCUUCUGCUUACCUUCCACACUGGUGGCUUGUGACAGUAUCUCAGGGACUGAAUUUGAUCCUCACCAGCUUUGCUUUCAGCAUCAGGCCUCGGUUUCUUGGGCCGGCAUUUGUCCGAUUUUGGCCGGUCUUGCUGACCGUCUACGCGGCAUUCGUCUGUUCUUCUUCUGUCGUUGAUAUUGUUGCAGAGAAGGCGCUGACUGUUAAGGCCUGUGAUGUCCUGUCCCUACCAGGUGCAGUUCUCAUGCUUAUUUAUGGCAUUCGGCAUAGCCAUGAUGAAGAGGGUCAUGGAGGAAGUGGCAAUGGUUUAUACAAGCCCCUGAACACGGAGACAGACAGUGAGGUAGCUGAUUCUGACAGUCUGGUAACACCCUUUGCUAAAGCUGGUUUUUUCAGCAGGAUGUCGUUUUGGUGGUUGAAUCCUCUGAUGAAGAUGGGCUAUGAUAAGCCCCUUGAGGACAAAGACAUGCCGCUUUUAGGCGCCACAGAUCGAGCACAGAACCAGUACUUGAUGUUCAUGGAGAAGCUGAACCGCGAAAAGCAGUCGCCAUCGCAGGCCACACCAUCAUUCUUCUGGACUAUUGUUUCUUGUCACAAGCGUGCCAUCUUGGUCUCAGGUUUCUGUGCUUUGCUUAAAGUUCUCACCUUGUCUACUGGCCCAGUGCUUCUCAAGGCAUUCAUCAAUGUAUCACUUGGGAAAGGGUCCUUUAAAUACGAAGGCUUUGUGCUUGCUGCGGUAAUGUUCGUCUGCAAAUUCUGUGAAUCGUUGUCACAGAGACAGUGGUAUUUCCGCACUCGGAGAUUAGGAUUGCAGGUGAGGUCAUUUCUGUCAGCAGCUAUUUAUAAGAAACAGCAGAAGCUAUCAAAUGCAGCAAAAAUGAAGCACUCUUCUGGAGAAAUUAUGAACUAUGUGACUGUCGAUGCCUACCGGAUUGGGGAAUUUCCGUACUGGUUCCAUCAAACAUGGACAACAAGUGUUCAACUUUGCAUUGCUCUGGCAAUUCUGUACAAUGCGGUCGGCGCUGCAAUGCUUUCAUCAUUAGUUGUAAUCAUCAUCACAGUACUUUGCAACGCGCCAUUGGCCAAACUGCAACACAAAUACCAGAGUAAGCUUAUGGAAGCACAAGAUGUGAGACUGAAGGCCAUGACCGAGUCAUUAGUUCAUAUGAAGGUCUUGAAACUUUAUGCAUGGGAGGCUCACUUCAAGAAGGUCAUUGAGGGGUUGAGAGAGGUUGAGUACAAGUGGUUGACAGCAUUCCAGCUUAGGAGAGCAUACAACAGUUUCCUGUUCUGGUCAUCACCUGUUCUGGUUUCGGCAGCGACCUUUCUAACAUGCUAUCUUCUGAAAAUUCCUCUUGAUGCUAGCAAUGUCUUCACCUUCGUGGCAACUCUGUGUCUCGUGCAAGACCCAAUCAGGCAAAUACCGGAUGUUAUUGGCGUCGUGAUACAAGCUAAGGUCGCGUUCACUCGGAUAUCGAAGUUCCUUGAUGCUCCUGAGCUAAACGGGCAAGCUAGAAAGAAAUAUUGUGUUGGCAUUGAUUACCCUAUAGCGAUGAAUUCGUGCAGUUUUUCAUGGGAGGAGAAUCCAUCAAAAUCAACUCUGAAGAAUAUAAAUCUGGCAGUCAAAGUUGGAGAAAAGGUUGCCAUUUGUGGAGAGGUAGGAUCAGGGAAGUCCACGCUUUUGGCUGCUGUACUCGGGGAGGUCCCCAAGACUGAAGGCACGGUAUGUUUUUACGAAUUUUAUCUUUUAAUGAAACUAGCUAAUACUUGUGGGCUGCUAUGGAAAUUAAUCGCUGGUGCAUUGCUAAAUUUUUUAUUUUUAUUGCAUGAUUAUUUAAACACUUGGGUCGUUGUAAUUUUUAGUUUUUUCAACUGA